CAGCAGCCACGGUAAUACGUAGGUGGCAAGCGUAGUCCGGAAUUAUUGGGCGUAAAGGGCUCGCAGGCGGUUUCUUAAGUCUGAUGUGAAAGCCCCCGGCUCAACCGGGGAGGGUCAUUGGAAACUGGGAAACUUGAGUGCAGAAGAGGAGAGUGGAAUUCCACGUGUAGCGGUGAAAUGCGUAGAGAUGUGGAGGAACACCAGUGGCGAAGGCGACUCUCUGGCCUGUAACUGACGCUGAGGGGCGAAAGCGUGGGGAGCGAACAGGAUUAGAUACCCCUGUAGUCCCUGUCUCUUAUAC
This 301-nucleotide ribosomal RNA is filed under the name uncultured bacterium. Its description in RNAcentral is "partial 16S ribosomal RNA". It matches the Rfam family "Bacterial small subunit ribosomal RNA", at positions 509 to 807 of the family's 1533-position model. The record is from RNAcentral.